Molecule: ribosomal RNA, 406 nt
Filed under: uncultured bacterium
Lineage: Bacteria
Description: partial 16S ribosomal RNA
Rfam family: Bacterial small subunit ribosomal RNA
Source: RNAcentral
AUUGAACGCUGGCGGCAGGCUUAACACAUGCAAGUCGAGCGAGCGGCGGACGGGAGAGUCAUGUCUGGGAAACUGCCUGAUGGAGGGGGAUAACUACUGGAAACGGUAGCUAAUACCGCAUACCAUCAGAUGUGCCCAGAUGGGAUUAGCUAGUAGGUGGGGUAAUGGCUAACCUAGGCUACGAUCCCUAGCUGGUCUGAGAGGAGGACCGGCCACCCGGGACCUGAGACACGGCCAAGACUCCUACGGGAGGCAGCAGUGGGGAAUAUUGCACAAUGGGCGAAAGCCUGAUGAAGACCUGCCGCGGGUGUGAAGAAGGCCUUCGGGUUGUAAAGCACGUUCAGCGAGGAGGCGGUACCCGCAGAGGAAGCACCGGCUAACUCCGUGCCAGCAGCCGCGGUAAUUC